This 458-nucleotide ribosomal RNA is filed under the name uncultured marine microorganism. RNAcentral's name for it is "bacterial SSU rRNA". It matches the Rfam family "Bacterial small subunit ribosomal RNA", at positions 356 to 829 of the family's 1533-position model. The record is from RNAcentral.
GGGGAAUUUUCCGCAAUGGGCGAAAGCCUGACGGAGCAAUACCGCGUGAGGGAGGAGUGCCUUUGGGUAGUAAACCUCUUUUCUCAGGGAAGAAGAUCUGACGGUACCUGAGGAAUAAGUAUCGGCUAACUCCGUGCCAGCAGCCGCGGUAAUACGGAGGAUGCAAGCGUUAUCCGGAAUCAUUGGGCGUAAAGCGUCCGCAGGUGGUUUCCAAAGUCUGCUGUUAAAGACUGGAGCUCAACUCCGGAACGGCGGUGGAAACUUGGAAACUAGAGUUCGGUAGGGGUAGCAGGAAUUCCCAGUGUAGCGGUGAAAUGCGUAGAUAUUGGGAAGAACAUCGGUGGCGAAGGCGUGCUACUGGACCGUAACUGACACUCAGGGACGAAAGCUAGGGGAGCGAAAGGGAUUAGAUACCCCUGUAGUCCUAGCUGUAAACGAUGGAAACUAGGUGUGGCUUG